ACGGAAUAUCAUAUAUUCAAUUUUAUAUCGGUAAACAUGCAUCAUCAUAUAUCAUAUAUAUCGAAUACAAUUAAAACACGUAAUCUGAAUUAAUCUUUUCGCAAGUAGCUUUGAUACCACUGUUGGGCUUCGGCACAGAAACGCACAGCGGAAAUUAAAAUUAUAAAGCAAUUUCUGAAACCCUAAAACAGGAUCCAUGCAAAAAUCAAUUAAUUCAGAGGUUUAGA
This 227-nucleotide long non-coding RNA is filed under the name Panax ginseng (ginseng). RNAcentral describes it as "long non-coding RNA (PGIN_LNC005976)". Lineage: Eukaryota; Viridiplantae; Streptophyta; Magnoliopsida; Apiales; Araliaceae. The record is from RNAcentral.